This 578-nucleotide ribosomal RNA is filed under the name Aeromicrobium sp. BvIRR130. RNAcentral describes it as "bacterial SSU rRNA". It matches the Rfam family "Bacterial small subunit ribosomal RNA", at positions 102 to 694 of the family's 1533-position model. Lineage: Bacteria; Bacillati; Actinomycetota; Actinomycetes; Propionibacteriales; Nocardioidaceae. The record is from RNAcentral.
ACGGGUGAGUAACACGUGAGCAAUCUGCCCUUCUCAUCGGAAUAACCAUUGGAAACGAUGGCUAAUGCCGAAUAUGACCUCGGAUCACAUGUUCUGAGGUGGAAAGCUCCGGCGGAGAAGGAUGAGCUCGCGGCCUAUCAGCUUGUUGGUGAGGUAAUGGCUCACCAAGGCGAUGACGGGUAGCCGGCCUGAGAGGGUGACCGGCCACACUGGGACUGAGACACGGCCCAGACUCCUACGGGAGGCAGCAGUGGGGAAUAUUGGACAAUGGGCGAAAGCCUGAUCCAGCAACGCCGCGUGAGGGAUGACGGCCUUCGGGUUGUAAACCUCUUUCAGCAGGGACGAAGCGAAAGUGACGGUACCUGCAGAAGAAGGACCGGCCAACUACGUGCCAGCAGCCGCGGUAAUACGUAGGGUCCGAGCGUUGUCCGGAAUUAUUGGGCGUAAAGGGCUCGUAGGCGGUUUGUCACGUCGGGCGUGAAAACUCAGGGCUCAACCCUGAGCGUGCGUUCGAUACGGGCAGACUAGAGGUAUGCAGGGGAGAACGGAAUUCCUGGUGUAGCGGUGGAAUGCGCAGA